GACACAAGGCCCUCUGUUUCUAAAACCAGCAACUUGCAUGUCAGCAACCCCACUUGAUUUUGGAAUUCACUGAACCCAACCAUUUCUUUCUCUCUCUCUCUCUCUCUACAUAAUAACAACAGUGAUAAUAGAGACAAUUCAAAUACAGUGUAACAACCCAAAACUCAACAAAAGGAGGAGGUACCAAUUCCAUUUUUCACCAUCCCAUUCCUUCCUAUAACUCCCAUGCAAUCUUUUGAAAGAUAGCACAAAACCCACCUCUCCUUUUUUAUUCUUUUUGUUUGUUUUGAUGAUGAUGAUGAGGAUGAGGAAUUCUUUGUACUGAAUACAGAGGAUCUGUAAGGGGAAAGAGUUUUGGUGGCUGAGAUGCAAAGACUGCAUAAGGGGGGCUUUAUUUCUUGUUGCCUCAUUCGGAAAUCUUCCUAUCAAACCCACCGCCAACACCAUCAAAGGCUUUAUCAGCUUUAUCAACAUCACUGUUGGAUUAUUGGGGACGACGUCUCAUGGUUUGCUCAUUGAACUGAAGUUGUAAUUCUUUGGCCGGCAGUUAGAAACAUGUGGUAUUGACUGAAUUCGAAGAUGGUUGGGACAAUUUUUUUCUUAGAAGAGUUGCAAAAAAUCAAAUCUUUGUUGCAAGAUCAAGCUUGAACCCAUUUUGUAUUUCUAGUUAGUGAAGCUGUAAUUUCUGAACUUGGAUCCAGGCAGCUUUAAUUUCUAAAAGAACCACAUUGGGUUGUUGAAGUGGAAAGAUAACAACCUUGGCAGAUUCUGUGAGUUGUAGGCUUGAUUGCAUAUCAAAACUACAAGAA
Molecule: long non-coding RNA, 809 nt
Organism: Corylus avellana
Lineage: Eukaryota; Viridiplantae; Streptophyta; Magnoliopsida; Fagales; Betulaceae
Source: RefSeq, a predicted model, not a curated record